ACAGGCGAAGUCACUAAUCCCAUGCUGCCGAGAAAAGCCUCUAGCGAGCUCACGUGGUGCCCGUACCCCAAACCAACACAGGUGGGCAGGUAGAGAAUACCAAGGCGAUCGGGAGAACUAUGGUUAAGGAACUCGGCAAAAUACAUCCGUAACUUCGGGAGAAGGAUGACCCCAUUAGGGUGACGGACUUCGCGUCCCGAGCUCGAAGGGGUGGCAGAUACUAGGGGAAAGCGACUGUUUACUAAAAACACAGCAGCGUGCUAAGCCGCAAGGCGACGUAUACGCUGUGACGCCUGCCCGGUGCCGGAAGGUUACGGGGAAGGGUUAGCCCUCGGGCGAAGCUCUGAACCUAAGCCCCGGUAAACGGCGGCCGUAACUAUAACGGUCCUAAGGUAGCGAAAUUCCUUGUCGGGUAAGUUCCGACCUGCACGAAUGGCGUAACGACUUUCCUACUGUCUCAACCAUAGGCCCGGCGAAAUUGAAGUACGAGUAAAGAUGCUCGUUAGCUGCAGAAGGACGGUAAGACCCCGUGGACCUUUACUACAGCCUGAUAUUGGGUUUUGGUAUGUGUUGUGUAGGAUAGGUGGGAGACUUGGAAGCGUCGGCGCCAGCCGGCGUGGAGUCACCCUUGAAAUACCACCCUGCACAUGCCGGAACUCUAACCUAGAUCCGUUAUCCGGAUUGGGGACAGUGGCAGGUGGGUAGUUUGACUGGGGCGGUCGCCUCCUAAAGAGUAACGGAGGCGCCCAAAGGUUCCCUCAGGCUGGUUGGCAAUCAGCCGUCGAGUGCAAUGGCACAAGGGAGCUUGACUGCGAGACAUACACGUCGAGCAGGUGCGAAAGCAGGGCAUAGUGAUCCGGCGGUUGCGUGUGGAAGCGCCGUCGCUCAACGGAUAAAAGGUACCCCGGGGAUAACAGGCUCAUCUUCCCCAAGAGUCCAUAUCGACGGGAAGGUUUGGCACCUCGAUGUCGGCUCAUCGCAUCCUGGGGCCGUAGCAGGUCCCAAGGGUUGGGCUGUUCGCCCAUUAAAGCGGUACGCGAGCUGGGUUUAGAACGUCGUGAGACAGUUCGGUCCCUAUCCUCUGCAGCCGGAGGGAAUUUGAGGAAAGCUGUCCCUAGUACGAGAGGACCGGGACGGACGCAGCUCUCGUGUGCCAGUUGUCCUGCCAAGGGCACGGCUGGUUAGCGACCUGCGGAAGGGAUAAGCGCUGAAAGCAUCUAAGUGCGAAGCCUGUUCCUAGAUGAGAUUCCCCACUGGGUUAACCAGGUAAGGCCCGUGACCAGACGAUCACGUUGAUAGGCCGGAGGUGUACGCACAGCAAUGUGUUCAGCCGGCCGGUACUAAUCGGCCGAGGGCUUGGCU
This 1362-nucleotide ribosomal RNA is filed under the name metagenome. RNAcentral's name for it is "bacterial LSU rRNA". It matches the Rfam family "Bacterial large subunit ribosomal RNA", at positions 1581 to 2925 of the family's 2925-position model. The record is from RNAcentral.